RNAcentral lists this ribosomal RNA (707 nucleotides) under uncultured Bacillus sp. RNAcentral describes it as "bacterial SSU rRNA". It matches the Rfam family "Bacterial small subunit ribosomal RNA", at positions 58 to 744 of the family's 1533-position model. The record is from RNAcentral. Lineage: Bacteria; Bacillati; Bacillota; Bacilli; Caryophanales; Bacillaceae.
CAAGUCGAGCGGAUCUUUGGGAGCUUGCUCCUAAAGGUUAGCGGCGGACGGGUGAGUAACACGUGGGCAACCUGCCUAUAAGACUGGGAUAACUUCGGGAAACCGGAGCUAAUACCGGAUCANUCNUUUCUACACAUGUAGAAAAGCUAAAAGACGGUUUACACUGUCACUUAUAGAUGGGCCCGCGGCGCAUUAGCUAGUUGGUGAGGUAACGGCUCACCAAGGCCACGAUGCGUAGCCGACCUGAGAGGGUGAUCGGCCACACUGGGACUGAGACACGGCCCAGACUCCUACGGGAGGCAGCAGUAGGGAAUCUUCCGCAAUGGACGAAAGUCUGACGGAGCAACGCCGCGUGAGUGAUGAAGGUUUUCGGAUCGUAAAACUCUGUUGUUAGGGAAGAACAAGUACGAGAGUAACUGCUCGUACCUUGACGGUACCUAACCAGAAAGCCACGGCUAACUACGUGCCAGCAGCCGCGGUAAUACGUAGGUGGCAAGCGUUGUCCGGAAUUAUUGGGCGUAAAGCGCGCGCAGGCGGUCCUUUAAGUCUGAUGUGAAAGCCCACGGCUCAACCGUGGAGGGUCAUUGGAAACUGGGGGACUUGAGUGCAGGAGAGAAGAGUGGAAUUCCACGUGUAGCGGUGAAAUGCGUAGAGAUGUGGAGGAACACCAGUGGGCGAAGGCGACUUCUUUUGGCCUUGUAACUGAC